Molecule: ribosomal RNA, 813 nt
Filed under: uncultured bacterium
Lineage: Bacteria
Description: bacterial SSU rRNA
Rfam family: Bacterial small subunit ribosomal RNA
Source: RNAcentral
AGAGUUCGAUCAUGGCUCAGGAUGAACGCUAGCUACAGGCUUAACACAUGCAAGUCGAGGGGCAGCAUUAAGUUUGCUUGCUAACUUAGAUGGCGACCGGCGCACGGGUGAGUAACGCGUAUCCAACCUUCCCCCUGCUCAGGGAUAGCCCGCUGAAAGGCGGAUUAACACCUGAUAGCUUCACUAGAUGGCAUCUGACGGUGAAUAAAGAUAACGGCGAGGGAUGGGGAUGCGUCUGAUUAGCUUGUUGGCGGGGUAACGGCCCACCAAGGCGACGAUCAGUAGGGGUUCUGAGAGGAAGGUCCCCCACAUUGGAACUGAGACACGGUCCAAACUCCUACGGGAGGCAGCAGUGAGGAAUAUUGGUCAAUGGGCGGAAGCCUGAACCAGCCAAGUAGCGUGCAGGAAGACGGCCCUAUGGGUUGUAAACUGCUUUUGUACGGGAAUAAAGUGACCUACGUGUAGGUUUUUGCAUGUACCGUAAGAAUAAGGACCGGCUAAUUCCGUGCCAGCAGCCGCGGUAAUACGGAAGGUCCGGGCGUUAUCCGGAUUUAUUGGGUUUAAAGGGAGCGUAGGCCGUUUCUUAAGCGUGUUGUGAAAUGUAGGCGCCCAACGUCUGCACUGCAGCGCGAACUGGGGAACUUGAGUACGCGGGAAGUAGGCGGAAUUCGUCGUGUAGCGGUGAAAUGCUUAGAUAUGACGAAGAACUCCGAUUGGGAAGCCAGCCUGCUGUAGCGCCACUGACGCUGAUGCUCGAAAGCGUGGGUAUCGAACGGGAUUAGAUACCCUGGUAGUCCACGCGGUAAACGAUGG